GAUGAACGCUGGCGGCGUGCCUAAUACAUGCAAGUCGAGCGAACGGACGAGAAGCUUGCUUCUCUGAUGUUAGCGGCGGACGGGUGAGUAACACGUGGAUAACCUACCUAUAAGACUGGGAUAACUUCGGGAAACCGGAGCUAAUACCGGAUAAUAUUUUGAACCGCAUGGUUCAAAAGUGAAAGACGGUCUUGCUGUCACUUAUAGAUGGAUCCGCGCUGCAUUAGCUAGUUGGUAAGGUAACGGCUUACCAAGGCAACGAUGCAUAGCCGACCUGAGAGGGUGAUCGGCCACACUGGAACUGAGACACGGUCCAGACUCCUACGGGAGGCAGCAGUAGGGAAUCUUCCGCAAUGGGCGAAAGCCUGACGGAGCAACGCCGCGUGAGUGAUGAAGGUCUUCGGAUCGUAAAACUCUGUUAUUAGGGAAGAACAUAUGUGUAAGUAACUGUGCACAUCUUGACGGUACCUAAUCAGAAAGGCACGGCUAACUACGUGGCAGCAGGCGCGGGAAUACGUAGGUGGCAAGCCGUAUUCGGGAAUAUUGGGGCGUAAAGCGCGCGUAGCGGUUUUUUAAGUCUGAUGUGAAAGCCCACGGCUCAACCGUGGAGGGUCAUUGGAAACUGGAAAACUUGAGUGCAGAAGAGGAAAGUGGAAUUCCAUGUGUAGCGGUGAAAUGCGCAGAGAUAUGGAGGAACACCAGUGGCGAAGGCGACUUUCUGGUCUGUAACUGACGCUGAUGUGCGAAAGCGUGGGGAUCAAACAGGAUUAGAUACCCUGGUAGUCCACGCCGUAAACGAUGAGUGCUAAGUGUUAGGGGGUUUCCGCCCCUUAGUGCUGCAGCUAACGCAUUAAGCACUCCGCCUGGGGAGUACGACCGCAAGGUUGAAACUCAAAGGAAUUGACGGGGACCCGCACAAGCGGUGGAGCAUGUGGUUUAAUUCGAAGCAACGCGAAGAACCUUACCAAAUCUUGACAUCCUUUGACAACUCUAGAGAUAGAGCCUUCCCCUUCGGGGGACAAAGUGACAGGUGGUGCAUGGUUGUCGUCAGCUCGUGUCGUGAGAUGUUGGGUUAAGUCCCGCAACGAGCGCAACCCUUAAGCUUAGUUGCCAUCAUUAAGUUGGGCACUCUAAGUUGACUGCCGGUGACAAACCGGAGGAAGGUGGGGAUGACGUCAAAUCAUCAUGCCCCUUAUGAUUUGGGCUACACACGUGCUACAAUGGACAAUACAAAGGGCAGCGAAACCGCGAGGUCAAGCAAAUCCCAUAAAGUUGUUCUCAGUUCGGAUUGUAGUCUGCAACUCGACUACAUGAAGCUGGAAUCGCUAGUAAUCGUAGAUCAGCAUGCUACGGUGAAUACGUUCCCGGGUCU
This 1372-nucleotide ribosomal RNA is filed under the name uncultured bacterium. RNAcentral describes it as "16S ribosomal RNA". It matches the Rfam family "Bacterial small subunit ribosomal RNA", at positions 28 to 1381 of the family's 1533-position model. The record is from RNAcentral.